Molecule: long non-coding RNA, 2124 nt
Filed under: Homo sapiens (human)
Lineage: Eukaryota; Metazoa; Chordata; Mammalia; Primates; Hominidae
Description: non-protein coding LINC00320:12
Source: RNAcentral
ACUGUGUGAUUUUUGUUCUUUAGUAGAAGGAUAACAUGACAUAGCAGGAAUAAUACUGCCUUUUCUUUCUGGCAUGGAUCAAGAGAAAAGAAAAUACAAGAAAACAGACAGAAGCAAGGCAAGGUACUUCUAUGGAAGGGUGAGCCCUCACAGAUGGAGCAAUGGGGCGCGCACACCUGAACAAGGGAGGGGAAGGAGUUCUUAUCCCUGAUGCAUGUGACCCCUGCUGCUGUGUCCUUCCCCUAUUGGCUAAGGUUAGACCACACAGCCUAAACUAAUUCCGAUUGGCUAAUUCAAAGAGAGCGACGGGGGCUUCUGACAGCUUUGGAGAUUGUGACAUUGGAAUAAAGGAAAAACGUACAGGACUCAUGAAGCGCUGAAAUGUUCACAAAUAUCAAGCAAAAGUCAAUGAAAUUUAUUUUGAGCUAUUUACAUCAUUUAAUAAUUGAGCAAGGUAUACUCCUAUGAACAAAAUUUGGAGCAUGUUUGUCUCUCUCUGCCUGGCGUCUUCAGAAUUUGGAAACUAGUUAUGGUUUAUAAUCAGCUAUAGAAUUUUAACACGUGCUCUCAAAUGCAAGUUUCUGAUAACUUUGGAGAUUGUGACAUUGGAAUAAAGGAAGAGCUGGAAUGUUCAUGAAUAUCAAGCAAAAGUCAUGGAAAUUUAUUUUGAGCUAUUUACAGCAUUUAAUAAUUGAGCAAGGUAUACUCCUAUGAACAAAAUUUGGAGCAUGUUUGUCUCUCUCUGUCUGCCUGGCAUCUACAGAAUUUGGAAACUAGUUGUGCUGUACUGCAUGAGAAUGCCUGCAUUUAGUAUGCGAACUGGAAUUGGCAAAGGACGAUGGCUGCUCUCCCGCUAACUUUAAAUAAGUCAUGUCACAAAUUGCAUUCGUUCCCAGAUUUCCUAAACUUUCCAGAGAAAAUGGUCUUCUCCCUGGCUCAGCAAGAAGAUGAACUUUAAACACUGAGAAACUGGUCAUCUCCCUGGCUCAACCAGAAGAUGAACUUUAAACACUACUCUCAAUGACUUGAUGUUCCCAUCACUACUCCUGUCAUAAAGGGAGGGGACUCAGAUAUUGAGAAUUUUAUGAUAGUGUGAACUGUCUGGUAUGUCAUUUAAGUAAGCCCGUUGCUGAAAUAUUUUCCAUGUUAUUAGAAAGAGCUGAAGAGAGGGAUUGAGAUGGCUUCUUUAUUUUUUGUCUUUUGGGAAUUAAAGGAACCUGGUUCAACAAGGGCCUACACCUAAGUCUCUUGUUGUACCAGAGUACAAUUUAGGACUGCUCCUGAGGAAGGAAUUAGCUAGAAAUCUAGAGAGUAAGGGUAACAGAUUUACAUAGAAUAACAGCCUCAGUAUUUUUGGUUCCUCUCCAGUAAAGAUCACAAAGAAUAUUGCUAAAUCGCUAAAACACCUUUGCAAUAACGUAAGGGCUUACAACUAUAUACCAAUGUAGCUCAGUUACUAAACUGGAGUAAACUAAUUUCUCUUGUGUAGAAAAAUUGGUUGGCUGUGGUUUUAUAGCAGAUCUGCAAUUAUUAAUAGUUAUGCCAAUAAUCGUUUAACAGUGCAUAUGUUAAUAUAUAUGGAAAGACAAUGUGUAUAGACAGAUGUGUAAAAUUGAAAAAUAAACAUAUAACAAGAGAGAAACAUCUAUCGAACAGACAAUAUACAUACACAUCAAACACAACAGCAGUUUUAGUGACCAUAAUAUUUAUUUCUCAUUUUUACAUUGCUUACUUUAGUGACAACUGAAAAUGACAGUUGGCAAUGCAGCUAACAGUUUCAAUAAAAGUAUAAAACAAAAGACUGUGUACAAAGCACCUGUCUUUCCGCUUUUGUAAUCUUCCGUUGGAAAAAAUUUACACACCUAAGUAACCAUCUGUUUUCUUCAAGAAAAAAUCAUUCUUAUUUCUCUCUCUCAUCUUGAAAACAGCUGUCAGCCAGGAGGGCAGAGCUGAAAUUUAUUGCCACAUCACAUGAAGCAUAGAACAGACUCCACUACUCCUUGAGAUUCAAAACUUUGCCUCUCACAAAGUUACCUUUUAUUUUCCUCUUGUUUGUCACUCAUCUCCCCUAGUGUGCUCUUUUUAUUUCUUUUACUAUUAAUAAUAAAAUCUGUGGAUGACUGU